This 549-nucleotide long non-coding RNA is filed under the name Mytilus galloprovincialis (Mediterranean mussel). The record is from RNAcentral. Lineage: Eukaryota; Metazoa; Mollusca; Bivalvia; Mytilida; Mytilidae.
CAAAAGACAAAAUCGAUGGUUUUAUUGCAUAUAUUGUACUGUUAUACAUAUACUGAAUAAGGCGCAAGCUCUUACACAAUUCUACGAAUGAAUAAAAGAAAAUCUUUAAUUGUGAUAAAAAAAAAGCUUGUGUGUGCUACUGCUGACUGUUUAUGUAUAUGAUAAUAAACCACUGAAUUUAAAAUAUACUCUUAAGAGUCGAAAUAUGAUGAAGGGAUCAUUCAAACUCGAAGGCAAAUAUUAUACAAGUUCGAACGAAAAAUAUAAACAAGCCUUAAUUGAAAUAAACGUUCAAACUUAUGGUUUCUGGUUGCGUUGGAUAUAAACCACAAUUUUUAUACAUAUGCAUGCAAGAACAAAUCUUGGAAGAAGGGUCUAAAUACAGUACGAACAAAAUUUCCCAAAAGAAAAAAAUGGAAAAAGUAUAUUUUUACAAAAUGAAUUUGACUACCGGGUUGAUCAACGGAUGCUCGUAAACACUGCUGACUACCAUGGCGAGUGCCAAAAAAAUCAGAUCAAUAGAUCUUAAUUAUUUAUUUGAUACCAAAC